RNAcentral lists this ribosomal RNA (468 nucleotides) under uncultured bacterium. Its description in RNAcentral is "partial 16S ribosomal RNA". It matches the Rfam family "Bacterial small subunit ribosomal RNA", at positions 28 to 507 of the family's 1533-position model. The record is from RNAcentral.
GACGAACGCUGGCGGCGUGCUUAACACAUGCAAGUCGAACGGAAAGGCCCUGCUUUUGUGGGGUGCUCGAGUGGCGAACGGGUGAGUAACACGUGAGUAACCUGCCCUUGACUUUGGGAUAACUUCAGGAAACUGGGGCUAAUAUCGGAUAGGAGCUCCUGCUGCAUGGUGGGGGUUGGAAAGUUUGGGCGGUUGGGGAUGGACUCGCGGCUUAUCAGCUUGUUGGUGGGGUAGUGGCUUACCCAGGCUUUGACGGGUAGCCGGCCUGAGUGGGUGACCGGCCACAUUGGGACUGAGAUACGGCCCAGACUCCUACGGUAGGCAGCAGUGGGGAAUAUUGCACAAUGGGCGGAAGCCUGAUGCAGCAACGCCGCGUGCGGGAUGACGGCCUUCGGGUUGUAAACCGCUUUCGCCUGUGACGAAGCGUGAGUGACGGUAAUGGGUAAAGAAGCACCGGCUAACUACGUG